This 492-nucleotide ribosomal RNA is filed under the name uncultured bacterium. RNAcentral describes it as "bacterial SSU rRNA". It matches the Rfam family "Bacterial small subunit ribosomal RNA", at positions 8 to 518 of the family's 1533-position model. The record is from RNAcentral.
AGAGUUUGAUUAUGGCUCAGAGUGAACGCUGGCGGCGUGCUUAACACAUGCAAGUCGAACGGAUGAAAUAAGCUUGCUUAUUUCGUUAGUGGCGCACGGGUGAGUAAUGUAUAGCUAACCUGCCCUUUAGUGGGGGACAACAGUUGGAAACGACUGCUAAUACCCCAUACUCCAGCCUAUCAAAAGGUAGGUUGGGAAAGAUUUAUUGCUAAAGGAUGGGGCUUUAUGGUAUCAGCUAGUUGGUGGGGUAACGGCCUACCAAGGCAAUGACGCCUACCUGGUCUGAGAGGAUGAUCAGGCACACUGGAACUGAGACACGGUCCAGACUCCUACGGGAGGCAGCGGUGGGGAAUAUUGCACAAUGGGGGAAACCCUGAAUGCAGCAACGCCGCGUGGAGGAUGACGCAUUUCGGUGUGUAAACUCCUUUUAUAAGGGAAGAUAAUGACGGUACCUUAUGAAUAAGCACCGGCUAACUCCGUGCCAGCCGCGGC